Molecule: non-coding RNA, 78 nt
Organism: Flavobacterium hibernum
Lineage: Bacteria; Pseudomonadati; Bacteroidota; Flavobacteriia; Flavobacteriales; Flavobacteriaceae
Source: Rfam
CCCUAGCCCCAAUAGUAGUAGAAAUCCCUUUGUGCCGGCGUUCGGCACAAAAGAUUGGAACGGAUAGCGGGAGAUAGC